UGGCGUCAAUUUAGGGCCAUUUGCUGGCCUAU
RNAcentral lists this small RNA (32 nucleotides) under Bombyx mori (domestic silkworm). Its description in RNAcentral is "ovarian small RNA-34906". The record is from RNAcentral. Lineage: Eukaryota; Metazoa; Arthropoda; Insecta; Lepidoptera; Bombycidae.